RNAcentral lists this ribosomal RNA (440 nucleotides) under uncultured bacterium. RNAcentral describes it as "bacterial SSU rRNA". It matches the Rfam family "Bacterial small subunit ribosomal RNA", at positions 338 to 795 of the family's 1533-position model. The record is from RNAcentral.
CCUACGGGGGGCAGCAGUGGGGAAUUUUCCGCAAUGGGCGAAAGCCUGACGGAGCAAUACCGCGUGAGGGAGGAAGGUUCUUGGAUCGUAAACCUCUUUUCUCUGGGAAGAUAAUGACGGUACCAGAGGAAUAAGCAUCGGCUAACUCCGUGCCAGCAGCCGCGGUAAUACGGAGGAUGCAAGCGUUAUCCGGAAUGAUUGGGCGUAAAGAGUCCGUAGGUGGUAUUACAAGUCUGUGGUUAAAGCGCGAAGCUCAACUUCGUAAAGGCCAUGGAAACUGUGAAACUAGAGUGGGAUAGGGGUAGAGGGAAUUCUUGGUGUAGCGGUGAAAUGCGUAGAUAUCAAGAAGAACACCGGUGGCGAAAGCGCUCUACUGGAUCUUAACUGACACUGAGGGACGAAAGCUAGGGGAGCGAAAGGGAUUAGAUACCCCGGUAGUC